RNAcentral lists this small RNA (2075 nucleotides) under Pongo abelii (Sumatran orangutan). RNAcentral's name for it is "retained intron". The record is from RNAcentral. Lineage: Eukaryota; Metazoa; Chordata; Mammalia; Primates; Hominidae.
GAGACAGCCAUGGGCGUUUCUGCAUAACGGAUCCUCAAAACAGUCCUGGAUGGUGGCCUGUGAGUAGUGGUUAAGAGCACGGGUUUGGCGUCACAGUUAUGAAGCCUGGUUCUGCUGACUUGAGACCUGGAGGAAUGCCUUGAACUCUGACUUCUGUGUCCUUUCCUGUAGAAUGGGAAUAAUUCCCACCUUGCAGAGUUGUAGGGAGGAUGAAGGAAAUGAUCUUGGUUGACAAGUUUAUCGUGGUGUGGGUACCUAGGUAGUAGCUAUCAGUGUUAUUUAAUGCGGCCGGGCGCAGUGGCUUAACGCCUGUAAUCCCAGCACUUUGGGAGGCCGAGGCGGGAGGAUCACGAGGUCAGGAGAUCGAGACCAUCCUGGCUAACAUGGUGAAACCUCGUCUCUACUAAAAAUACAAAAAAUUAGCCAGGCGUGGUGGCACGCGCCUGUAGUCCCAGCUACUCUGGAGGCUGAGGCAGGAGAAUCGCUUGAACCCGAGAGGCGGAGGUUGCAGUGAGCCGAGAUCAUGCCACUGCACUCCAGCCUGGCGACAGAGCGAGACACUCUCUCUCUCUCUCUCUCUAAAAUUUAAUGAAUGAGGAAACGGCGAACAUACGUCCAAUAAGGUGGGACUUCACCAGCUAAGGUGGAGGAGGUGCCUUAACCUUCCGGAGCCUCUGUGUAAAAUGGGAAUAAUAUACAUUGUAAUGGCUGCUUCUCAAGAUGGUUGUAGGAUUAAGUAAGGUUAGAAAUAUGAAAAGAGCUUAUAAAUUGCAAAACAUUUUACCGAUGCUAAUGUAAUCGCUAACACUCCAGAGCAUUUUGAAAUUUUUUUAUAGAGUUGGCACAGCAGCAGGGUCAUAGGACACCCCCAGAGCAACUUGUGGGUCUUGGAAUAGAUGAAAAGAAACAACUGCCACUGUGUUGCUACCAUAAUCCUAAAGAUAAAGCUUUCCAGGAGACCCCUAUUUCCUCUCUGCUUUUUCUGCCUACGGCACUUCACACUUCUGUGCCAGCAUUUUUCCUGCCUAGUUAAAUACCAGUCUGUCAAUUAUGUAAGAGACAGCUUAGUCCAGUAGUUAAGAGCACAGACUGUGGACAUGGGCAGCCUGCAUCUGAAUACCAGUUCUGCCACUUACUAACGAUGUGACCUUGGACAAAUUAUUUUACCUCUCUUGGCCUCAAAUUUCUCAUCUGUAAAAUGGGGAAGGUAAUAAUGUAUUAUAUCAUCUACCUUGUGAGGUUUAAAUAAUGUUAGUGCUUGUAGAACACUCCCUGGCACAUUGUAAGCAAUGUAUAAGGAUUUGCUGCCAUUUUUGUUAGCACUGCUACUGCAUGACCAGGCAGUCAUUCUUCUCAGUAAUACUACUAGAUUCCUUUGGUUAGAGACAGCUCUGCGUUUAGAAGGUUCCAGGCAUGGAGAAAAGCUGGUGAAGGUCCUAGAAUAAAUGACUUCUUGGGGAUUUUUGUUGUUGGUUUUGUUCACUAAAGUAUCCCAUGCAACUGGAGUGGUACCUGGCACACAGUAGGUCCUCAGUAAAUGUUUAUGGUAUUAAUACAUUUCUAACCUUGCUUAUCUUUUUGCCCCAACAGGUGCUUGCCUUAGAGCAAGGGAAACAGCUCUGAUUCAAAGGAACUAGAAGCCUCUCCCUCAGUGCAUCCAGGAUAUUGCAGUCCUCUUCAACAUCAUCAUCAUUUUCCUCAUGUUCUUCAACACCUUCGUCUUCCAGGCUGGCCUGGUCAACCUCCUAUUCCAUAAAUUCAAAGGGACCAUCAUCCUGACAGCUGUGUACUUUGCCCUCAGCAUCUCCCUUCAUGUCUGGAUCAUGAACUUACGCUGGAAAAACUCCAACAGCUUCAUAUGGACAGAUGGACUUCAAACGCUGUUUGUAUUCCAGAGACUAGCGGCAGUGUUGUACUACUACUUCUAUAAACGGACAGCCGUAAGACUAGGCGACCCUCGCUUCUACCAGGACUCUUUGUGGCUGCGCAAGGAGUUCAUGCAAGUUCGAAGGUGACCUCUUGUCACACUGAUGGAUACUUUUCCUUCCUGAUAGAAGCCACAUUUGCUGCUCUGC